UAUUGAGCUCGAAUACAUACAGCUGCUGUUUGAUCUCAGGACGGAGGCCCCAUUCGAACUUUCUUACCUUUCUGCCUUUAUCCAUCAUGCUCUUAGGGGAAUACUGGCCCAACUUUAGGAACUUUCGAGUAUAUUCUGAUACAAUCAUGUCACCCUAGACCAGGUGUGCAAACUCUAUUUCUUUCAGAUGUCGGAGAUGCUCUGGGAGGUACUUUGCAUUGAAGGCUAUCAAGAAUUUUUUUCAAGUGACUGGAACGGGCAGGGUGGCCUGCUUGAGUUGCCACCAGCGACUUGCCUCUCCCACCAGCAUGUAGGUGGCAAGUAUGACCAUCUGUUCGAAAAUCACCCUCUCGCUGCAGGGGUGGCUCAACCUGUGGUAGCGGGGAAUGGUCAGGUAGCUCUCUUCUUUCCUCCUUAGCCUACUGGGCAGCGAUAAGUCUCUCCAGCAUUUCAAAUAAUCGGUCAACAUCCUCUUGAAGCGAACUCUCCCAGACUGU
This 497-nucleotide long non-coding RNA is filed under the name Carica papaya (papaya). Its description in RNAcentral is "long non-coding RNA (CPAP_LNC007188)". Lineage: Eukaryota; Viridiplantae; Streptophyta; Magnoliopsida; Brassicales; Caricaceae. The record is from RNAcentral.